RNAcentral lists this ribosomal RNA (468 nucleotides) under uncultured bacterium. RNAcentral describes it as "partial 16S ribosomal RNA". It matches the Rfam family "Bacterial small subunit ribosomal RNA", at positions 28 to 507 of the family's 1533-position model. The record is from RNAcentral.
GAUGAACGCUGGCGGCGUGCUUAACACAUGCAAGUCGAACGGAAAGGCCCUGCUCUUGCGGGGUGCUCGAGUGGCGAACGGGUGAGUAACACGUGAGUAACCUGCCCUUGACUUUGGGAUAACUUCAGGAAACUGGGGCUAAUACCGGAUAGGAGCUCCUGCUGCAUGGUGGGGGUUGGAAAGUUUCGGCGGUUGGGGAUGGACUCGCGGCUUAUCAGCUUGUUGGUGGGGUAGUGGCUUACCAAGGCUUUGACGGGUAGCCGGCCUGAGAGGGUGACCGGCCACAUUGGGACUGAGAUACGGCCCAGGCUCCUACGGGAGGCAGCAGUGGGGAAGAUUGCACAAUGGGCGGAAGCCUGAUGCAGCAACGCCGCGUGCGGGAUGACGGCCUUCGGGUUGUAAACCGCUUUCGCCUGUGACGAAGCGUGAGUGACGGUAAUGGAUAAAGAAGCACCGGCUAACUACGUG